UACGAAGGGGCUAGCGUUGCUCGGAAUCACUGGGCGUAAAGCGCACGUAGGCGGCUUCUUAAGUCAGGGGUGAAAUCCUGGAGCUCAACUCCAGAACUGCCUCUGAUACUGAGGAGCUCGAGUCCGGGAGAGGUGAGUGGAACUCCGAGUGUAGAGGUGAAAUUCGUAGAUAUUCGGAAGAACACCAGUGGCGAAGGCGGCUCACUGGCCCGGUACUGACGCUGAUGUGCGAAAGCGUGGGGAGCAAACAGG
This 252-nucleotide ribosomal RNA is filed under the name uncultured bacterium. RNAcentral's name for it is "partial 16S ribosomal RNA". It matches the Rfam family "Bacterial small subunit ribosomal RNA", at positions 524 to 776 of the family's 1533-position model. The record is from RNAcentral.